RNAcentral lists this non-coding RNA (135 nucleotides) under Eutrema salsugineum. RNAcentral describes it as "Eukaryotic large subunit ribosomal RNA". It matches the Rfam family "Eukaryotic large subunit ribosomal RNA", at positions 818 to 952 of the family's 3401-position model. The record is from Rfam by way of RNAcentral. Lineage: Eukaryota; Viridiplantae; Streptophyta; Magnoliopsida; Brassicales; Brassicaceae.
GAAAGAUGGUGAGCUAUGCCUGAGUGCAGCGAAGACAGAAUAAACCCUGGUGGAGGCCCGCAGCGAUAAUGACAUACAAAUCAUUCGUCAGAAUUGGGUAUAGGGGUGAAAGACUAAUCAAACCAUCUAGUUGCU